UACGUAGGGUGCGAGCGUUGUCCGGAAUUAUUGGGCGUAAAGAGCUUGUAGGCGGUUUGUCGCGUCUGCUGUGAAAAUCCGGGGCUCAACCCCGGACUUGCAGUGGGUACGGGCAGACUAGAGUGUGGUAGGGGAGACUGGAAGUUCCUGGUGUAGCGGUGAAAUGCGCAGAUAUCAGGAGGAACACCGAUGGCGAAGGCAGGUCUCUGGGCCACUACUGACGCUGAGAAGCGAAAGCAUGGGGAGCGAACAGG
RNAcentral lists this ribosomal RNA (254 nucleotides) under uncultured bacterium. Its description in RNAcentral is "partial 16S ribosomal RNA". It matches the Rfam family "Bacterial small subunit ribosomal RNA", at positions 524 to 776 of the family's 1533-position model. The record is from RNAcentral.